Trichogramma pretiosum is the source of this 1832-nucleotide RNA transcript. RefSeq lists it as uncharacterized. Lineage: Eukaryota; Metazoa; Arthropoda; Insecta; Hymenoptera; Trichogrammatidae. The transcript has 7 exons. The record is from RefSeq and is a predicted model, not a curated record.
CCUACGGUUUGCAGCAGUCUCUCUCUCGCGUGCCUCCGAUCCACGGCUUAUACUAUAUAUAUAUAGGCCAAACGCGGCGGAGAUCGCGAGCGAGCGAGUCUGACCAGUACGCCGACUCGCAUCACUCGCUGCCGCACGAGUGGCCUACUGUGCCGAGUAGCAGUGUCUAUAUAGUGUAUAGAAUAUAAGUGCAGUGCGCGAUUUGGUGAACAACCGGCAGUUUUGCUCGCUCUUGGCGAUGACGUGAUAUUUCGCUCGUUCUGUGUGAUUCAGUUUCUUCGCCGAAAUCCUGUGCUCGCCGUGGCAGCGGCUACUGAUGUGAUACCGAUGGCCCUUGGCUGAUUCGAUGCUGCUACACGAGCAGCGCUUAUAAUAAUAAGGGCCUACCUGUACCGCAGCUUCCUUCACGACAUGAUCAUUUACAAGAUGAGAGUCGCGAUUGCUCGAGCUAGGCUCUUGGUGCCGAUUCAACGGCCUGCUUCGAUGCUACUGCUGCUGCUCGCUCUUACCUUGGCUAGUAGCGAAGCGCUUCGUAUGACAGCCCUUCGUAUUCCGCAGCACGUCGUGCUCAAUCAGACCGUACGCAUGGAGUGCGACUUUAGUCUGGACCGCGAGAGCCUCUACUCCGUCAAAUGGUACAAGGACGGCCACGAGUUUUACCGUUACGUGCCCUCGGAGGAGCCGAGAGUUCACAUCUUUCCGCUCGACGGUGUCGCUGUCGAUAGGCGCAGUUCGACGGAGAAAAUCGUAGUGUUGCACCGAGUGAACGACGACAGCACGGGUCGCUACAGAUGCGAGGUAUCGGCCGAAGCUCCGGCUUUCCAUACGGUCUCCGAUCACGCGGACAUGACGGUAGUUGUACUCUCGGAGCAUGGACCAACAAUCACGGGAGCCAAGUCUAAAUAUCAAGCAGGGGACAUCGUCAACAUUAACUGCACGUCCGCCCCGUCAAAACCGGCUGCUCUGCUGAUGUGGUACGUCAACGAAGAGCCGGUGGACAUGCAGUACCUAAAAGGCCCGUACAUAGUUGAUGUAGACAAACGCGGCUUGGAAACAGUCGUUCUAAUCCUGGAAUUUCAAGCAUGGUCUAAUCACUUCCGUCACGGGGACAUGAAGCUCAAGUGUCUAGCGACCAUAUCAUCGGUAUACAGGCGCAGCAAAGAGCAUCGAGUCGUCGGUGAUCACGGCAUACUCAAGCAACCGAUGGAGAGUCGCGAGACACGAGCUCAGAGCCACAUGCACAACAAUGAAAACCGAGUGCGCAUUUGCACGCUGCUCAUGAGCUGUCUGUCGCUGGUCGUUGUUUAUUUUCAUCAAAGCAUUUGCUAAUACAAAGAAGAAAAAUCACGGAGAAUACGUUGCCGACGAGGUGGACUAUGCAUCACGAUUAAAAAGGGCAAAGCAUGUAGAGUAUAACGAUGUCGACUUGAACAGAAUAUGGGAUUCAUUCUCGACAUCGUUGUCUCUGUACGUUCCAAAUGUUCGUUUCUCCGCCACCUUCGGUUGGACCUGAACUCUUCCAAGGGUACGAUUAAACGAUGAUUAUAAUAAUCCAACAAUAUUUGCUUUUUUCGAUAUAGAUGGAUAUUUGGGUUUGGAAAUUUCUGCGUUGUUUUUUUUUUAAUUUCAUACAAGUUUGAAUGUAUUCAACGAUCUGACUUCCAUUUUCAUCAAGUUGAUUGGAUUAAUUAAUUCAAAGUGACGUUAUCACAAUCUCAAUAUGAUGUACAUUGCCAUUUUUAAAUCAGUGUUUACACUUGUCAUGGUGACAAACGUGUUUGUUUUUAAAGAAUAAUUGGUUCCCGAGAGGAGAGCAUUGUAAAUAAGUGACG